UGAGUUUGAUUCUGGCUCAGAUUGAACGCUGGCGGCAGGCCUAACACAUGCAAGUCGAGCGGUAGAGAGAAGCUUGCUUCUCUUGAGAGCGGCGGACGGGUGAGUAAUGCCUAGGAAUCUGCCUGGUAGUGGGGGAUAACGCUCGGAAACGGACGCUAAUACCGCAUACGUCCUACGGGAGAAAGCAGGGGACCUUCGGGCCUUGCGCUAUCAGAUGAGCCUAGGUCGGAUUAGCUAGUUGGUGGGGUAAUGGCUCACCAAGGCGACGAUCCGUAACUGGUCUGAGAGGAUGAUCAGUCACACUGGAACUGAGACACGGUCCAGACUCCUACGGGAGGCAGCAGUGGGGAAUAUUAAACAAUGAGCGAAGCUGAUCCAGCCAUGCCGCGUGUGUGAAGAAGGUCUUCGGAUUGUAAAGCACUUUAAGUUGGGAGGAAGGGCAGUAACCUAAUACGUUGCUGUCUUGACGUUACCGACAGAAUAAGCACCGGCUAACUCUGUGCCAGCAGCCGCGGUAAUACAGAGGGUGCAAGCGUUAAUCGGAAUUACUGGGCGUAAAGCGCGCGUAGGUGGUUUGUUAAGUUGGAUGUGAAAUCCCCGGGCUCAACCUGGGAACUGCAUUCAAAACUGACAAGCUAGAGUAUGGUAGAGGGUGGUGGAAUUUCCUGUGUAGCGGUGAAAUGCGUAGAUAUAGGAAGGAACACCAGUGGCGAAGGCGACCACCUGGACUGAUACUGACACUGAGUGCGAAAGG
Molecule: ribosomal RNA, 754 nt
Filed under: Pseudomonas migulae
Lineage: Bacteria; Pseudomonadati; Pseudomonadota; Gammaproteobacteria; Pseudomonadales; Pseudomonadaceae
Description: bacterial SSU rRNA
Rfam family: Bacterial small subunit ribosomal RNA
Source: RNAcentral